AGGGCUAUAGCUUAGUUGGUAGAGCACCUAGUUUACACGUGCGCCAAUGUUUUUCAGGGAAGUCUAUGGAAAAUCUAUUGACUUUAAAAAUUGUGAAGGUUCAAGUCCCUCUAUCCCCA
Gossypium raimondii (Peruvian cotton) is the source of this 119-nucleotide transfer RNA. It matches the Rfam family "tRNA". Rfam says of the family: Transfer RNA (tRNA) molecules are approximately 80 nucleotides in length. The record is from Rfam. Lineage: Eukaryota; Viridiplantae; Streptophyta; Magnoliopsida; Malvales; Malvaceae.